RNAcentral lists this ribosomal RNA (123 nucleotides) under uncultured archaeon. Its description in RNAcentral is "partial 16S ribosomal RNA". The record is from RNAcentral.
CACGGGGCGCAGCAGGCGCGAAAACUUUACAAUGCGGGAAACCGUGAUAAGGGGACACCAGUGGUAACUAUCAUAUGCUGGCUGUCCAGGAAGUAAACUACACUCUAGCGGGACCGAGCGCCG